AGCUCCCAGCGGCAAGUACACUAGGCUCUUAACUUCGCUUGUCCUCUCUGCAGGCCCUGCCGAAGCUCCCCCUGGUUUCCCGCAGCGAUCCCGCGCAGGGCUGAAGCAGUGCCUACUCAAUAGAACCAGUCAUCGUGCAAAGAAAUGCCACCUGACUCAAAGGCAAAGCCAGAGUGCAGCUUGGAGCAAAGAAGGUAUUUUAUUAAGAAUUUUACAUAAACCAUAAGAUAUAUUUUAUAUUACUUUGCGAGCCUUCUUCCUGUCUUGACUUAAUUCUUUUUGAGAGAAUUCAUUUCAUUUUCAUUUGGUUUGUUUUCUUCUUGUUACAAAGAUGAUGUAUAGAAAAUAUAGAAGUAUAAGAAAAUUAAAGAUACUAACUGAUAAUUGCUUAAUGAUUUAGUAUCUGCUUGUUUAGUCUUUGUUAUAUUUACAGUAGGCAAACAUGUCUACCGUUGUAAAUUUAUUACUGGUAUGUAUACCCUAGUAAGUUAAAAGUUAUAUGUACUUUGAAGUUUUGCAAAAUUGAGUUCAUAUUAUAGAAUUAAUUCCUGAUGAAC
Long non-coding RNA from Homo sapiens (human), 557 nucleotides. Ensembl annotates it as golgin A8 family member M. Its record names the gene GOLGA8M. NCBI's taxonomy places the organism in Eukaryota, Metazoa, Chordata, Mammalia, Primates, Hominidae. The record is from Ensembl.